RNAcentral lists this ribosomal RNA (492 nucleotides) under uncultured bacterium. Its description in RNAcentral is "partial 16S ribosomal RNA". It matches the Rfam family "Bacterial small subunit ribosomal RNA", at positions 29 to 507 of the family's 1533-position model. The record is from RNAcentral.
AGUGAACGCUGGCGGUAGGCCUAACACAUGCAAGUCGAACGGCAGCACAGUAAGAGCUUGCUCUUACGGGUGGCGAGUGGCGGACGGGUGAGGAAUACAUCGGAAUCUACUUUUUCGUGGGGGAUAACGUAGGGAAACUUACGCUAAUACCGCAUACGACCUACGGGUGAAAGCAGGGGAUCUUCGGACCUUGCGCGAUUGAAUGAGCCGAUGUCGGAUUAGCUAGUUGGCGGGGUAAAGGCCCACCAAGGCGACGAUCCGUAGCUGGUCUGAGAGGAUGAACAGCCCAACUGGAACUGAGACACGGUCCCGACUCCUAAGGGAGGCAGCCGUGGGGAAUAUUUGACAAUGGGCGCAAGCCUGAUCCAGCCAUACCGCGUGGGUGAAGAAGGCCUUCGGGUUGUAAAGCCCUUUUGUUGGGAAAGAAAAGCAGCAGGUUAAUACCCCGCUGUUCUGACGGUACCCAAAGAAUAAGCACCGGCUAACUUCGUG